Molecule: long non-coding RNA, 586 nt
Organism: Pocillopora verrucosa
Lineage: Eukaryota; Metazoa; Cnidaria; Anthozoa; Scleractinia; Pocilloporidae
Source: RefSeq, a predicted model, not a curated record
CAAUUUCUUUGGCAUGGAAGCGCAGCUUUAUCUUUCGUCCCUGUUAACCGAGAUCCUAACACAGACCCAGUGUGAUAACAGUAAUUCUCAAGUGGUCUGCGGUCACUCUAUCACGUCGCCAAAAUGGUUGUUUUGUUUUCCAGAUCAUACUGAAAAAAAGGAACACAGACGGAAUAAUAAAUUUGAUGGCCAAUACUUUGUCUGAGAGAAGUAAGAAACUACCAAGAGGAAAAUCGCAAAUGUGCUCAUACUCGACAAGACGUGUAUUCUAAAGAUUUUGUUGGCCUAUAACGAUUUUGAUAUCAUUAUGCUCAAGACGAACUCAAUUUUCGUACCACAAGCAACUUUGGAUAUUUCCUCUGCCAAGUUUACAAGUUGGUCGUAUGAUUCCGCGGUAAUAACAUUUUCUCGAGCGCCUGCAAUUUCUAUCAGCUCAUCUUCAUCGAUAUCUUCCUUAUUCCCAACUGCCACAACAUAAAUCUUGAUUCCUUUGUUUCGCAGAGGCUCAGACGCCUCCUGUAAUGACUUGACACUGCUUUGUUGGCCUGUUUGUUUACCAGUGGUUAACAGAAUCAUAAUCUGUGAA